This is a non-coding RNA of Nelumbo nucifera (sacred lotus), 2123 nucleotides long. NCBI's taxonomy places the organism in Eukaryota, Viridiplantae, Streptophyta, Magnoliopsida, Proteales, Nelumbonaceae. The record is from RefSeq and is a predicted model, not a curated record.
UCAUUGUUUUUUUUCUUCCUUUUCUUCCUUCUGUUUUUCUUCUUCGUUUCUUGAAUGUCCAAAUUGUGAAUUUUGGUGAUCAUCUUUAUGGAAUCUGUCAUUGCUUGAAAAGAAAACCUAGAAUGGAAACAGCGAAUUUGUUGUUGUGUUUCGUGAGCCUUGGCGUUCGCUACAACCCUAAAUACUUUCUGCAAUCGAAACUGGGAAUCUGUUUCCUAGCUUUCUAAGUAUUUCGUCGAAAUUCAAUUGGUUUGUAGUAGAAAUCAAUAUAUGAAUCACGGAAGGUUGUGAUUCUAGUUGAAGAGAUUUCGGUUAAGUAGGUUUUAAGGAAAGUGUAGUAAAACCAGACAAUGACCAGAAGAGCCAGUAGCUGUGCUAUAUGCGAGAAUUCAAAUCACGCUUCAAUAUGUGCUAUGUGCGUUAAUUACAGAUUAAAUGAGUACAAUACAGCAUUAAAAUCAUUGAAGAGUGUCCGUGACUCCCUGUAUUUGCGAUUGAGUGCAGAACUUGAGGCAAAGGGUAAAACGGAUGACCAGAUCAAUUGGAGAGUUCUUCAGAAUGAGAAACUUGCAAGAUUGAGGGAGAAGCUCCAUCUUGCAGAGAAACAACUACUGCAAAGGAAGGCUAUGCUUCAAAAUAUGUCUAAUGAUUUAAAGGUUAGAUAUGAGAUGCUUGAAUCAGCUCAGUGCACGUUGGAAAAGAAUCAUGUGGAGCAGAUAGAGAGUUUCUACCCAAACCUUAUUUGCACUCAAAGCCUAGGUCAUAUGGCCAUUACCUCUGAACGCCUUCACAAACAGUCAGUAGUUAUAAAACAGAUUUGCAAAUUGUUUCCACAACGCCGGGUGAAUAUUGAUGGAGAGAGAAAAGAUGGAUCUAGUGGUCAAUAUGAUCAAAUAUGCAAUGCUCGCUUACCAAGAGGUCUUGAUCCCCAUUCUGUUCCACCUCAAGAGCUUGCAGCCUCCCUUGGGUACAUGGUGCAACUUCUAAAUGUUGUAGUUCAGAACUUGGCUGCACCUGCACUUCAUAAUUCAGGUUUUGCGGGUUCAUGCUCACGUAUAUGGCAAAGGAAUUCAUAUUGGGAUGCUCGGCCAUCUUCUCGGAGCAAUGAAUAUCCCCUUUUUAUACCCCGUGAGAACUGUUGCUCCACAAGUGCAGAGAAUUCAUGGUCUGAUAAAAGUUCAAGUAAUUUUGGUGUUGCUUCAAUACAGUCAGAAAAGAAACCUCAUCUGGAUUCUGCUGGAAGUGGUAGCAUUAAUUAUUCUUCUGCUUCUGUGCAUUCAGUUGAAACUCACAAGGACCUGCAGAAAGGGAUAUCACUUCUCAAGAAAAGUGUAGCAUGCAUUACAGCAUAUUGUUACAACUCACUGUGUUUAGAUGUCCCAUCUGAGGCAUCCACUUUUGAAGCAUUUGCAAGGUUGUUAGCCACACUGUCUUCCUCCAAGGAAGUUCGAUCAGUUGUUUCCUUGAAAAUGGCAGGUUCAAGGUCUUGUAAGCAAGUCCAACAAUUGAAUAAAUCUGUAUGGCAUGUGAAUUCAGCCAUCUCAUCAAGCAGUUUAUUGGAGAGUGCACAUUCGACACCUACAAUGCGUAACACUUGUGAAAAUAACCUUUCAAAUUCUGCUGCUAGUUUUCUUUAUGCUCCUGAGAUGUCUGAUAUUGGAAAAGUGGAAAGCCUUGUUGAAGGGUGGGAUAUUGUGGAGCAUCCCACUUUGCCCCCUCCACCAUCACAGACUGAGGACAUCGAGCAUUGGACAAGGGCUAUGUUUAUUGAUGCUACAAAGAGAUGAUGAUGCUGAGAAAUAUAGUAUUUUGCAAGUAAAUAUUUACUUGAACUCAUCUUUCUGUUCUUUCAGAGAAGGACAGGUUUCUCCAAUUAUGUAGAUAAAAAACAGUUAGAGAAGUUCGCAUAUGUAAAUAUAUAUGGGUUUUAAGGUUUGCCUAUCUCCAUUUGCUUCCAAGUCCCUGCAAUUAAAAUUCAAAAGAAAGUAUUUUCUUCUAUAUUUGAAUAUUUUUUGGUUUGAAAUGUAGGAUUGGAAAAUGCGUUGUAAAGCAUCAAUAUACAACCCAUGUUACUUUUCUUUUUACUGGAUGAUCCAUUUCUCUUUUCUUUUAUCCUGCUUAUA